UAGGGAAUCUUCCGCAAUGGGCGAAAGCCUGACGGAGCAACGCCGCGUGAGUGAUGAAGGUCUUCGGAUCGUAAAACUCUGUUAUUAGGGAAGAACAAAUGUGUAAGUAACUAUGCACGUCUUGACGGUACCUAAUCAGAAAGCCACGGCUAACUACGUGCCAGCAGCCGCUUUAAUACGUAGGUGGCAAGCGUUAUCCGGAAUUAUUGGGCGUAAAGCGCGCGUAGGCGGUUUUUUAAGUCUGAUGUGAAAGCCCACGGCUCAACCGUGGAGGGUCAUUGGAAACUGGGAAACUUGAGUGCAGAAGAGGAAAGUGGAAUUCCAUGUGUAGCGGUGAAAUGCGCAGAGAUAUGGAGGAACACCAGUGGCGAAGGCGACUUUUUGGUCUGUAACUGACGCUGAUGUGCGAAAGCGUGGGGAUCAAACAGG
This 429-nucleotide ribosomal RNA is filed under the name Actinomycetes bacterium. RNAcentral's name for it is "Actinobacteria bacterium partial 16S ribosomal RNA". It matches the Rfam family "Bacterial small subunit ribosomal RNA", at positions 355 to 776 of the family's 1533-position model. Lineage: Bacteria; Bacillati; Actinomycetota; Actinomycetes. The record is from RNAcentral.